This 77-nucleotide transfer RNA is filed under the name Deltaproteobacteria bacterium ADurb.Bin058. Its description in RNAcentral is "tRNA-His". It matches the Rfam family "tRNA". From Rfam's summary of the family: Transfer RNA (tRNA) molecules are approximately 80 nucleotides in length. RNAcentral also lists the same sequence under 2 other names. Lineage: Bacteria; Deltaproteobacteria. The record is from RNAcentral.
GCCGCCUUAGCUCAGUUGGCAAGAGCACCUGACUGUGGAUCAGGGGGUCAUUGGUUCAAAUCCAAUAGGCGGUACCA